GCAAAGUCUAUCAUGUGAACUCUUUGAAAACAAGGGACUGAUGUUCAGCAUUGAUUUGCCCUAAAACUGAGAGAUUAAUAUGUGAUGGAAAAUGAGAAUCCCCAAGAGGAAUGAGGAAGAACUUUACUGUAAGACCUUCUGAGGCCCAUGUGCCAGAUGACAACACUGAGACUGAGAGAGUCGGAAUGACUUGCUUUGGACCACAUAACUAGUAAAUAUCUGAGGCAGCAUUUGAAAUAGAGUCUCUUGGACUCUUGAAGGUCAGUAGUCGAUACUCCUGUCUUAUUGUGUGUCUCACUAAUCCU
RNAcentral lists this long non-coding RNA (305 nucleotides) under Monodelphis domestica (gray short-tailed opossum). Its description in RNAcentral is "lncRNA (ENSMODG00000037802.1)". Lineage: Eukaryota; Metazoa; Chordata; Mammalia; Didelphimorphia; Didelphidae. The record is from RNAcentral.